AAGGGAGACCUAAUUCGGGUAGAAGACGAAAAAAUAGUAGUCGAAACCAAGAAUCAAUCCCAAAAGGUCGGAACGAGGUAUGUGGCUUUCAAACUAGGUUCUGGGUUCAUAAAAGACCUGAAUCAGGAACAAGGGCUAUUAGCUCAGGUGGUUAGAGCGCACCCCUGAUAAGGGUGAGGUCCCUGGUUCGAGUCCAGGAUGGCCCACCUGCACAGGUGGCAAAAACAAAGAAGGGAAGCGAGGAAUCAGCACCUGCUCUUAUCUAUAUAUAAGAGAGAAUGCUGGCUCUGAGUACAGAGUCCAGAGGAACCUUGAAAACUGCAUAGAGCUAGGUGAAAAAGCCAAAAAAGAAGACCGCAA
RNAcentral lists this transfer RNA (360 nucleotides) under uncultured Microcystis sp. Its description in RNAcentral is "partial 16S-23S ribosomal RNA intergenic spacer". The stretch from base 133 to 206 matches the Rfam family "tRNA". The record is from RNAcentral. Lineage: Bacteria; Bacillati; Cyanobacteriota; Cyanophyceae; Chroococcales; Microcystaceae.